UGUAUUAGCUAAGAAGAUGUAAACAAGCAAUCUACUUCCAACUGAGUGCCAUCCCAACCCACCCAUAUUCUAGUGGCCUCCCCCUUCUUUACAGUUAUGAACAUACUUCCACUCUCUUUUCAAAGAAGAAAACACAGAAUCAAUAUUUUCCUCUCACUUUUGUUUCAACAAGGAUCUCUAACUUAAUAUUUUUUUUCAUUCAACAUAUACUUCACCCCUCUUUGUUUUUCAGGGUCAUUAAGGUCCCUUAUAUUCCAACACAAACAAUUCAUUUAGUAACCUUCUUAGAUUGUUACCCUGAGCUCUCAUAGCCCCCUUCUUUACCCCCACAUCUUGAAACAUUUUCUACAUAUUAGGUGUCACCUCAAUACGCUGGGGUUGAAGGGACAUAUUUUUGCAUGACCCCCUCCUUUAAUAGGGAAAGCAGACUUAGCAAGGUUAGUGGAAGAAGAAGCUUUGGUCAUACCUUAUUUGUUCACUUUGGCUAUGGAGGGAUUUACUGGGAUUAUGAAGAAGCUUGAAGUUGAUGGUAGACUCACAUUGACAUAUUGCAAUCCUAUUUUGGACCUCAUCUGAACAAAGCUGGAAGGUUAGAAGACUAGAUUUCUCUCCUAUGCUGGAAGAUAACAGUUGGUCUCCUCUGUUCUCCAAGGAUGCCAUAUCAAUUGGUUAGGAAUUUUUUCUCUACCACCUUAUUCUAAAGUGGAGAUAGAACAAGCUACUACCUUACAUCUGAUGGAAGCUUGGAGAGGGCUCCCUCCUAUUCCUAGACUUCACUAUCCUAAGAAGGAUUUAGUGGUCUAGAAAGGGCACUAAAUCAGCCUGGCAGAUUGUUCGAAAAAAGGAGACAAAGAUAUCUUGGGCCAAGAUUGUUUGGUUUGAUGGUAAUAUCCCAAGACACUCAUUUACAACAUACUUAUUGAUGCUUUACCUACAAAAGAUCAACUUAUC
Long non-coding RNA from Macadamia integrifolia, 951 nucleotides. RefSeq lists it as uncharacterized. The record is from RefSeq and is a predicted model, not a curated record. The transcript is spliced from 3 exons. Lineage: Eukaryota; Viridiplantae; Streptophyta; Magnoliopsida; Proteales; Proteaceae.